UUUAGAAAAGAGAACUCGAGGAAAAAUAAAUGAAUUAAUGAUUUUCCGCGCUCGUUGCUUCCUGAACCGACUGAUUAAUUAAUAUCCAACACCAACUAUCCGAGAACAACAAUAUUGGGAAAAUUAUUCAGAAAAUUCGAUUAGCAAUGAAGUUUCAAGUAACGAGUGCGAUAAGAAACACUCCGUGCCAAUAGUUUUAUGCGAUGAGUGCCGCUCAUGAGUCGUAGAAAGAGAAAAAAUGCAAAAAAACAGUUACCGGUGUUAUUACAAAUACAUUGCACUUUAAAAUGGAUUCUCUAAAUGUUGAAGGAGAAAGGUUGAUUCAUUUGGAUUUGAAAGUCUGCCCGUUGAAAGUCGACUAUCUCGAAAAACUAUUCAAAGUAUUUCGCGAAUGGGGAGGAACUGGCUUAUUAAUAGAAUGGGAAGACACAUUUCCGUACGAAGGAGAAUUAGAAGACAUCGGCUCUCUUCAUACACAACUUGCGUACUCUGUCGCAGAUAUACAAAGCAUACAAUCCUUAGCUGAGCAAAACAACCUCAUCGUAAUACCUUUAGUGCAAACCUUCGGCCAUUUAGAAUUUGUACUGAAAACCCCGAAAUGGAAACAUUUGCGAGAAGUUCCUAGAUAUGCUAGUUCGAUGUGUCCCUCACAUCCCGAGUCAUUACCAUUAGUCACUUCUAUGGUUAAGCAGAUUAUUAAUCUUCAUCCCAAUAGUCAAUUUAUUCAUAUCGGAGGAGACGAAGUAUGGCAUAUGAGCCUAUGUGAGAAUUGUCGGCAGCACCAUAAACACGACUUGUUCAUGAAGCAUAUAACAUCUGUUUUACGAUUCGUUAAAGAAAAUUAUCCCAAUGUUACACCGAUCAUGUGGGAUGAUAUGCUUCGUUCCAUCGAUAUAAAUUUGUUGAAAGAAUUCGAAAUUGGGCAAUAUGUCGAACCAAUGGUAUGGGAAUAUCAUAGAGUAGAUACUUUCUCACUAGGAACAGAUUUAUGGGAAAAGUAUAGCGAUGUGUUUGAGAAGAUCUGGGUCGCUUCGGCUUUCAAAGGUGCUACCGGUAGUUGUCAAAUCUUGCCCAUUGUUGGACACCAUUUGAGCAAUCAUGAAAAAUGGUUGGAUGUCGUGGCCAAAAUUCGUUCUAAAUUCAAAUCCGUCAGAGGUAUCGCGUUGACUGGUUGGAGUAGGUACGAUCAUUAUGCUACGUUAUGCGAGUUGAUUCCCACAGGAUUGACUAGUUUGGCAUUGUGUUUGAAAACCUGGGUAAAUGGAAAAUACGAUGGUGCUGUUUACAAAGAAAUUAGCACUUUGUUGGGAUACAGUGACGAGGCUCCACUUAUACUCUACCCUUUAAAUCGACCAUUACCGAUUGCCAAAUUUCUCAAUUUCCCUGGCUAUCAGAUCUACAUCGGUGUUGAGUGGUUCGCUAACAUACGUGCCAGAUAUAAUUAUAUCGCCUUCAGUGACCAAGCAGUAACUUGGUUGAAUACUUGGCACGUUAAACGCAACAACACAAGUGUGAUGCAAGUCGAACACAUCAUCGUGAGUUUCAGAAGUUUAUUAGAUGAACUAAGCGCUGUUGAACGUCAUCUUUCUAUGAAUAUGCCAGAAGCAUUUUACGAUAAUACCAUUGAGGAAUGGUUGGGCUGUUAUUUGUAUCCGUUAAAGGAGAAAUUAAUAGAACUGAUUAAAGAUGCUGAGUCUCAGCUUAAACUCGAAUAAUCUUCGUUAACGAUUCUAAUCAUUUUUUAGUUUACUUAUAAGUAAUUUUCGAUUUUCUAUUUUCUAUUUUCACGACUUUUAAUUACCCAUAUUUUAUUAAGGAGUAUUUUCCGUUACUACUGAAUCAUUGUAUACGCGUGGGUGUUUUUUGAAGGGUUGGGAGGGGAUAUUAUUUUUUUUAAACUGGAAAAAAUAUUUUAAUUAUACAAUGGGUUUGUUAUUGUGUUUAAAAACUAUUUUUUUAUGCAUGUAAGUUCCUCGAGUGUUUGCCUGUGUUAGUUAUAUUUUUCGAUAAGUUUUAUCUUUACCUGUAUGUUUUGAAAUACAACAAUAUUGAUAGCAUGUACGAUUAUCAUUAUCAAAUUAUUAAUGAUGUUUCAUUUUACAAAAUGAGUAUUCAUUAUUCAACUGAAAUAAUUAUUCAUUCGCAAAAAAUAUUUAUUCGUGAUCGAUAUAAAAAAAAUCGUACUUAAUAAUAGAACAUAUAAACGUGGAAUAGUUUGAAACAUCACAGCACAAACAUAUCGUAUUUGUGUGGUAAAGUAAAACUUCAUUCAAGUAAAUUCCUUCGUAGCAGUAAAACUCCUGUCAAAAUGAUACCCAAUAACGCGCCAGCUACGAUGUAAAAAUCGAAAGAAAAUUUCUGCUUGGGGGUUGGCCCGUUUCUCCUCUUCACGUCCUAUAAUAGGAAAAAAAUCAUAAAAGGUAGGUUGAGGUAAUUUUUGAGUCGACUCGGAUCAAUUCAUUAUUAAAAAUCUGACCUUCAAUAGCAAAUCAAUAUCUUUAAUCAUAGCUUCAUUCUCUCCCUGAAUUCGCUCACAGAUCGUAGCUAUAGCCGAGCUAGCUGCUGUGUCGUUAUGAACGAUGAUAUCCAAAGGUUUUCCUUUUUCUAAACUCCGCUGGACAUAACUGCAUGCGACAUUCGCCGAGUACAGAUAAUCGUCGCUAUUCUUUAAAAUAUCGUUAAUUUCUUCCAAUCUAAACGGGUGAAAUUUCAAUUCAACAAUUGGCUUCAAAAACACACAGACUUUGUAGGUAACAUGAACGAGGGGCAACUUACUGAAGUGAUUUCGGAUCAGGCCAUUUUUCAGUUUUGCGAAAUUUUUUAAUGUACUUUAUCAGCAAAUCGAUUUCUUCCUUGUCGUCGACACCGAUGGUUCUCAUGUCAUCUUCAUUCAACGAUAGAAAUAAAUCCAAAUUGAUAUUAUGUUUCUCAAACAACGGCGCGUGUUUAUCGAGAUCAAGACCAUUUAACAUGGUCAUAACCAUACGAUCAAGCUUACUCUCCAUUUUCACUUUUAGGCGCGUUCUAAACAAGCAAAUUUCAUCGAAUUCAAACAUUAGGCCAAACGUACGAAUGGAAAUUUUUACAAAGCGGUGUAGUAAUUCAGCCGAAAGUUUCUCGAAUAAUAAUUUUAGCGCCAUAAGACACACAACGAUACCGAAAUACGAAUGAAAAAUAACGAAAGAAAUAAGUACCAAGUUACGGUGAACCAUUAUAUUCGCAAAUAUAUCCAAAUAAACCAAAUAAACUUAUAAUUACGGUAAGCCUAGGAUUAUCCUAAUGUAAAAAAAAAAAAGAAAUUAAAAUAUUCAUUCAUAUUAUAUACAAGAGAAUAAAACUUGAAUGAUCUUGAAAUCAAAAGAUGAAUACCGUUAGUUAAUAAAUAAAAAUUACUGUAAAAUAGAAAAACCUUCGAUAAUCGUGGGUAAUUAAUGAGGAUUGAUUAAAACGUACGCAUUGUAAUUAAGCUACAGGUUGACGAAUAUGUAACAGUGAUUCCAAUAUAUAUACGUACGUACGCCGGAAAAUACCAUCACAUAUUUGCACAAAGUAAAA
Planococcus citri (citrus mealybug) is the source of this 3555-nucleotide RNA transcript. It is a transcript of the gene named hexosaminidase D-like, with no coding region annotated. The transcript is spliced from 13 exons. The record is from RefSeq and is a predicted model, not a curated record. Lineage: Eukaryota; Metazoa; Arthropoda; Insecta; Hemiptera; Pseudococcidae.